Molecule: long non-coding RNA, 644 nt
Filed under: Dendronephthya gigantea
Lineage: Eukaryota; Metazoa; Cnidaria; Anthozoa; Malacalcyonacea; Nephtheidae
Description: uncharacterized LOC114537834, transcript variant X1
Source: RNAcentral
UAGAAAUUUGAAACCGAAAUGAAGUAUAUUUCACGAGAUAUUAAGUUGUUUCAAUCGAGAAAUGGAUUUUUAUAUGACAACUAGUCCUACUAGUCCUUUUCCGCCAUAUCAGAUCAGCUUGAAUAUAAAACCCUGCUCUUUCUAACACCAGGGUUUCUUUAAUAAUCCAUAUUUUUCAUACUCUCUCAUCUCAGACAAGCAAAGUUUCUUCUUUGUUUAUUGUAAAACUUGCAAGAAACUAACACGAGGAAAAUUGCGAUGUCGAUGUUCAAAUUGCAAGGAAGGAAGCUUUGUUCUAUCACAGGGUCCAAAUGGUUGGGAUGAUGUAUUGAUCAAAGGCCGCAUGCAGGGAUAAUGUGAAUCCAAUACAAACUGUCAGGGAAAAACAGCUCUAAGUUAUUCACCUAUCACACCUAAAAUACAAUAGAAUUUUAUUUCAAAUGUGGGGAACAUCAUGGUAGAGAUGAACAGGCGCCAUUAUCAAUGUUGAAAUCUAACAUCAGAAAUAUUCCCUGCAUCACAUGCUCUGAAUCAUCGCACGUGGACAACAUGGCUGGUGCAGGUGAACAAGAAUUAUCUCAAAUGUCUUGCGAAGAUUUCACCGAAUUCAAGGAAGCUUUGAAGGUUUUGAGGUUACUCGAUGA